UAGGGCUGGCAAAUCGUGCGUGUCGGAUCGUUAUCGGGUCGACCUGAUAUCGACCCGACCUGUUAAGGCCAAACCUGAACACGACCUGUUAAGGAAUUGCUCGACACGAACCCGAACCCGACACGAUUUACUCAAACCCGAACACGACACGAACCCGACACGAACCCGAUAGCAACACGAUUUAAAUCGGAUUGACACGAUACGAUAACGACACGAUAUGCUUAUAACCUGAAUUUGACCUGAUUAAACACGAACACAAUAAUUACACGAAUUUGACCUGAUUAAAACAACACAAUAAUAAUACAAUAAUAUGUGAAUUACAUAACAAAUCAAGUUCAACAAAAUAAAAGUCUAACAACAUAAAAAUAUCGCCAUCUAGUGCCUGUUCUUGGAGUCCAAUCCACAAAUAGUUCUUGUCACUUUGUCUGAACAAAAUGCAAAAUCAAAGGCUGUUUUCAAUUUUCGCUCAGGAAAAUAUCGCCAUCGGCUGUUUUCAAUUUUCGCUCAGGAAACCAAAGGCAGCCGAAGAGGCGAAGACCGUGGAGUGAUACUACUCUUUCACUUGUCUGAACAAAAUGCAAAAUCACAAACUCAAAGGCCCAUACUAACCACAAUCUAUGAUUCAUGAACAAGCACUCAUUUCAUAAUUGAUUUCAUAACUGAAAUGGUCACAAAUGAAGACAAAAAUUUAUCACCUAAAUCAGGAGCAAACACCCAAAAAAAAUUGACAGCAGGUGACCAACGAGAUGCUAAAGAUGAAAAAAAGCUCUUAUCCAAACACCAAACUUACAUCGGAACUAAUUUAGUCAACAACUGCUAUAGGUAAUUAAAUAAUGGCAGAUCCCAUUCUACCUACCUAAGUCCGAGAAUCCACUGCGUCUGAGAGUGAGGGCGGGGUGACUAUUGAAGGAAUCACCGGCGUUGGCGAAGAGGGAGCGACUGUGAGGCUGGGCAGUGCGGGCGGCUGGAGGCGCCGCGGCGGGGCGGGGCAGUGAGAGUCGACGUCGAGUGCGGGCGGCGCCGCGGCGGGGCGGGGCAGUGCGGCGGCUGGAGGCUGGGACUGGGAGUUGGAAGAAUGGAAAUUGGAAUUUGGAAGGGACGAAAGGGUGUGUGCGGCGGGAAUGAAAGUAUGAAACCAAAAACCCUACUAAGAAAUCAAAAGUUUAAAAAUUAAAAUAAAUGUUUAAUAAAAAUAAUAAUAUUAUUAUCGGGUUACCUGAACCGAACCCGACCCAACCCGAACCCGACCUGAAAUUAUCAGGUCCUUAUCAGGUCGACCCGAUAAGGACCCGAACCUUAUCGUGCGUGUUACUAACCCAUUAAUUCCGUGCGGUUUCGUGUCGGGUUUUCG
This 1351-nucleotide long non-coding RNA is filed under the name Salvia miltiorrhiza (redroot sage). RNAcentral's name for it is "long non-coding RNA (SMIL_LNC004742)". The record is from RNAcentral. Lineage: Eukaryota; Viridiplantae; Streptophyta; Magnoliopsida; Lamiales; Lamiaceae.